Molecule: long non-coding RNA, 247 nt
Organism: Halichondria panicea
Lineage: Eukaryota; Metazoa; Porifera; Demospongiae; Suberitida; Halichondriidae
Exons: 3
Source: RefSeq, a predicted model, not a curated record
AAAAGGGUGGGGCUGCUGCAUACUUACAGAGCAUGCGCAAAACAGCAAACGGUUGUAUGGUGUGUCUUUGUUCAAGUUUAAGUAUUCAGCCAUCACGGCCAAUGAAGCAGAUAUCAAGAGUGAAUGCAAAACACUGGAGGAGGAAGCAGAGAGUAUAGUCAUUGUGGAUUACAAGUUGAUCGGUUUUGAGUAUGGUGCUCCUGUGGGAGUGUCCCGUCCGAGCAACUAUAGGGAUAGGUUGCUCAUG